RNAcentral lists this ribosomal RNA (868 nucleotides) under uncultured bacterium. RNAcentral's name for it is "bacterial SSU rRNA". It matches the Rfam family "Bacterial small subunit ribosomal RNA", at positions 21 to 904 of the family's 1533-position model. The record is from RNAcentral.
GGCUCAGAACGAACGCCGGCGGCGUGCUUAACACAUGCAAGUCGAGCGAUGAACCACCUUCGGGUGGGGAUUAGCGGCGAACGGGUGAGUAACACGUGGGCAACCUGCCCCUAGCUCUGGGAUAACUCCGGGAAACCGGGGCUAAUACCGGAUACGACUUCCUGCGGCAUCACGGGAAGUGGAAAGUUUUUCGGCUAGGGAUGGGCCCGCGGCCUAUCAGCUUGUUGGUGGGGUAACGGCCCACCAAGGCGACGGCGGGUAGCCGGCCUGAGAGGGCGACCGGCCACACUGGGACUGAGACACGGCCCAGACUCCUACGGGAGGCAGCAGUGGGGAAUAUUGCGCAAUGGGCGAAAGCCUGACGCAGCGACGCCGCGUGAGGGAUGAAGGCCUUCGGGUUGUAAACCUCUUUCAGCAGGGACGAAGCGAAAGUGACGGUACCUGCAGAAGAAGCACCGGCCAACUACGUGCCAGCAGCCGCGGUAAUACGUAGGGUGCAAGCGUUGUCCGGAAUUAUUGGGCGUAAAGAGCUCGUAGGCGGUCUGUCGCGUCGGCUGUGAAAACUCGGGGCUCAACCCCGAGCCUGCAGUCGAUACGGGCAGACUAGAGUGCUGUAGGGGAGACUGGAAUUCCUGGUGUAGCGGUGAAAUGCGCAGAUAUCAGGAGGAACACCGGUGGCGAAGGCGGGUCUCUGGGCAGUAACUGACGCUGAGGAGCGAAAGCGUGGGGAGCGAACAGGAUUAGAUACCCUGGUAGUCCACGCCGUAAACGGUGGGUGCUAGGUGUAGGGGGUAUUCCACGCCCUCUGUGCCGCAGCUAACGCAUUAAGCACCCCGCCUGGGGAGUACGGCCGCAAGGCUAAACUCAA